CUCUUCAGUUUAUUUGCAGGAAAUGAAUGGAUUAAUUUUGGUGCAAGCCAAGUUACAGAUAUAGCCCUCAAGGAUCAACCUGGGCUUCCGUGUUUUGCUCAAAGAGGAUCCUGCGCGUAUACAUCUUGCUCAAUGGUGAUGGUGGUUGGACCACUGUGGGGUUUGGAACCUACAACCUUUAAGCUUACCUUCAAGCAUAGGUCAUUUGCACUGCACAAUAUGAGUCUGUGUGGGUUUAGGGUGGAGGACAGUUUACUCAUGUCAACAUAAAGCGGACACACCAGCAGAUAGAGCUCCUUGGCAGAUGUCUGUCCGCUUGGCGCCAUCCACAAUGAACUCAGGGCUUGAGCAGAGCUCCUUAAAAAGGGACAAUGUGAGAACAAUUAGAGGUGAUAGUGUUACGUUAUGUAAAGGUACAACUAAA
Long non-coding RNA from Onychostoma macrolepis, 424 nucleotides. RefSeq lists it as uncharacterized. The record is from RefSeq and is a predicted model, not a curated record. NCBI's taxonomy places the organism in Eukaryota, Metazoa, Chordata, Actinopteri, Cypriniformes, Cyprinidae. The transcript has 4 exons.